UCGUAAUAGUUGGCUAAUUUGGGGAUGUUUGGAUUGAACUAUUAUUAUUCCUUCAAUGAUUAUCGGUUCCUUAUGGUCAACUGACAACCAUGAGACCAUUCAAAAAGGUAUGAAACGUUCCCAUCUUUAACUAUAAUACAUAUUU
This is a long non-coding RNA of Haliotis rubra (blacklip abalone), 145 nucleotides long. RefSeq lists it as uncharacterized. Lineage: Eukaryota; Metazoa; Mollusca; Gastropoda; Lepetellida; Haliotidae. The record is from RefSeq and is a predicted model, not a curated record. The transcript is spliced from 4 exons.